Long non-coding RNA from Odontomachus brunneus, 1091 nucleotides. RefSeq lists it as uncharacterized. The transcript is spliced from 3 exons. NCBI's taxonomy places the organism in Eukaryota, Metazoa, Arthropoda, Insecta, Hymenoptera, Formicidae. The record is from RefSeq and is a predicted model, not a curated record.
GUAGCUCCAAGAGAGGCUCGACUCGCGAGAGUUUUCUGAAGAUUUUCGUAGGCGAUACCCGUUGCGAUAACGGCACCGCGGCCAACGAUAACGACAAACUCUCGUUCGCCCGUUCAGCUGCACGUGUCGUGAUGUCACGAAUUUCUGUCUCCUACGAUUCGUCGCGCUUAUUUUCGCGAAGGCGCCGUUCAGGCCGCGACUACCAGGAAGUUGCUCGGAUGCACCGUUAGCCGACAGUGUAGCAUCAUCGAUUGCGAGAUACGCAAAUAUAAGUCGUACGGUCUCGCACCAAACGACGCGACGCCCGCAGUGCUCGAGAGCCGGUGUGUGUCGAAAGAUUGAUAGCACCAGCAAUCGCCACGUAGCCGCGCGUCGCCGUCGUAGUCGUAAAAACGCGCGAGGCAUUGUUUCGCGCCUCGACACACUCGUAACUUUAUUGCGCGCGUGACGGUUUUGCGAAAGACCUCGUAUCGCCGUGAAGAGCGGAUUAAAGGAGAGAAUAGAAAAGAAGAAGAACUCACAGGAAGAGAAGGAGAAGAAAAGCUGGCGCGACGACGGGGGAAAAUUGACAUAAUUGAAGUCACUGAUGUAACGUUCGCGCGAGCGACUUCAGCUCAUUGCUCGAAGUCGGUUGGAAACACACUAGGGGUGCGUGUUGAGGGUCACGCAUGGAACGGUACAACCGCUGCCAACGGUCACGUGCCAAAACACCGGCAACCACCAUCUGCCACAUAUACACACACAUAGGUCGGUGUAUAGAUAUAAUGAACCAGGUGCGACCUGCCGCUUUAGAUGUCGCUGCAAGCAGUAGCAUGUUCAGCAACACGCGCCUGCAGCGGAUGCAACCAGCGCAACGGUACGUCAGCGAGAUUGCAGUGGCAACGGAUGCACGCACACUUGGAAAUUGAAGAUUGAUCUUGAUUAAGCGGAUAGCACACAGAAGAACGUAAGCAAUAAGACUGAAUCAGUAAGAAAAUAUUCCAAUCGAAAUCGAUUAUUCUUGAAAGAAAAAUUAUUGAAAACUGUGGUGAUCAAUUUAUACUUAUUACUUAAAUCUUAUUGGUUACGUUCUUUUGCGUAUUCGCGAUUUU